GAUGAACGCUAGCGGCAGGCUUAACACAUGCAAGUCGAGGGGUAGAAGUCUUCGGACUUUGAGACCGGCGCACGGGUGCGUAACGCGUAUGCAAUCUGCCUUGUACAAAGGGAUAGCCCAGAGAAAUUUGGAUUAAUACCUUAUAGUAUAUAGAUGUGGCAUCACAAUUAUAUUAAAGAUUUAUCGGUACAAGAUGAGCAUGCGUCCCAUUAGCUAGUUGGUAUGGUAACGGCAUACAAAGGCAAUGAUGGGUAGGGGUCCUGAGAGGGAGAUCCCCCACACUGGUACUGAGACACGGACCAGACUCCUACGGGAGGCAGCGGUGAGGAGUAUUGGUCAAUGAGCGCAAGCCUGAACCAGCCAUGCCGCGUGCAGGAUGAAGCAUCUAUGGUGUGUAAACUGCUUUUGUACGGGAAGAAACACCUCUUCGUGAAGAGGCUUGACGGUACCGUAAGAAUAAGGAUCGGCUAACUCCGUGCCAGCAGCCGCAGUAA
Molecule: ribosomal RNA, 494 nt
Filed under: uncultured bacterium
Lineage: Bacteria
Description: partial 16S ribosomal RNA
Rfam family: Bacterial small subunit ribosomal RNA
Source: RNAcentral